RNAcentral lists this long non-coding RNA (205 nucleotides) under Elaeis guineensis (African oil palm). RNAcentral describes it as "long non-coding RNA (EGUI_LNC013473)". Lineage: Eukaryota; Viridiplantae; Streptophyta; Magnoliopsida; Arecales; Arecaceae. The record is from RNAcentral.
CCUGAGCAAUGAGGAGGAGGAAGAAGAAGGUAGUGUGUGGCUAUGGGAAGGUGAGCAAUAAAAGUGGAGAAGGAAGGGGACAACGGGCCUAAGUGGUGGAAGGAGAAAGGAGGUAGAGAAGUAAGCGGUGACGAUAGGAAGACGAACAACAGAGAAGGAGAAAGAAGAGAGCAGUGGGCCCAAGCAGCAGAAGGAGAAGGGGGUG